ACCCUAAACGGCCGCGGCACAAAAACCGUGCAAAGGUAGCACAAUCACUUGUCCCUUAAAUGAGGACCCGUAUGAAAGGCAACAUGAGAGAAAGCCUGUCUCCUAUGGUUGGCCAGCGAAACUGAUCUAUCAGUACAAAAGCUGAUAUUUUAAAGCAAGACAAAAAGACCCUAUGGAACUUUAACAAAUUACUUACACAAAUAAGCAAUAGUUUCAGUUGGGAUAACUUUAGAAAAAAUAAACUUCUAAGACUAACAAGUCGAUCCAGUACCACUGAUCAACGAAACAAGCUACCCUAGGGAUAACAGCGCCACCUUCUCAAAGAGUCCAUAUCAACAAGAAGAUCUACGACCUCGAUGUUGGAUCAGGGUACCCAGACGGUGCAGCAGCUGUCAACGGUUCGUUUGUUCAACGACUAACACCCU
Molecule: ribosomal RNA, 425 nt
Filed under: Chamaeleo anchietae
Lineage: Eukaryota; Metazoa; Chordata; Lepidosauria; Squamata; Chamaeleonidae
Description: partial large subunit ribosomal RNA
Rfam family: Bacterial large subunit ribosomal RNA
Source: RNAcentral